UGCAGUCGAGCGAAGCCUUCGGGCUUAGCGGCGGACGGGUGAGUAACGCGUGGGAACGUACCCUUCGGUGCGGAAUAGGCCCUGGAAACGGGGUUUAAUACCGCAUACGCCCUUUUGGGGAAAGAUUUAUCGCCGAAGGAUCGGCCCGCGUUGGAUUAGGUAGUUGGUGGGGUAACGGCCUACCAAGCCGACGAUCCAUAGCUGGUUUUAGAGGAUGAUCAGCCACACUGGGACUGAGACACGGCCCAGACUCCUACGGGAGGCAGCAGUGGGGAAUCUUAGACAAUGGGCGCAAGCCUGAUCUAGCCAUGCCGCGUGAGUGAUGAAGGUCUUAGGAUCGUAAAGCUCUUUCGCUGGGGAAGAUAAUGACGGUACCCAGUAAAGAAACCCCGGCUAACUCCGUGCCAGCAGCCGCGGUAAUACGGAGGGGGUUAGCGUUGUUCGGAAUUACUGGGCGUAAAGCGCGCGUAGGCGGACUGGAAAGUUGGGGGUGAAAUCCCGGGGCUCAACCUCGGAACUGCCUCCAAAACUAUCAGUCUAGAGUUCGAGAGAGGUGAGUGGAAUUCCGAGUGUAGAGGUGAAAUUCGUAGAUAUUCGGAGGAACACCAGUGGCGAAGGCGGCUCACUGGCUCGAUACUGACGCUGAGGUGCGAAAGUGUGGGGAGCAAACAGGAUUAGAUACCCUGGUAGUCCACACCGUAAACGAUGAAUGCCAGACGUCGGCGCGCAUGCGUGUCGGUGUCACACCUAACGGAUUAAGCAUUCCGCCUGGGGAGUACGGCCGCAAGGUUAAACUCAAAGGAAUUGACGGGGGCCCGCACAAGCGGGUGGAGCAUGUGGUUUAAUUCGAAGCAACGCGCAGAACCUUACCAACCCUUGACAUCCUCGGAUCGUCCCAGAGAUGGGUCUUUCACUUCGGUGACCGA
Molecule: ribosomal RNA, 926 nt
Filed under: uncultured bacterium
Lineage: Bacteria
Description: bacterial SSU rRNA
Rfam family: Bacterial small subunit ribosomal RNA
Source: RNAcentral